RNAcentral lists this long non-coding RNA (217 nucleotides) under Phoenix dactylifera (date palm). RNAcentral's name for it is "long non-coding RNA (PDAC_LNC021864)". The record is from RNAcentral. Lineage: Eukaryota; Viridiplantae; Streptophyta; Magnoliopsida; Arecales; Arecaceae.
AAUCCACGUGAGGCCUCUGGAUCAACCGGCAUUCUGAAAAGUGCUAGCUAGCAGGGAUGCAGCAGGUGGCUGAGAGAGAGAGGGAGAGAACUAGGAGGAAGAGGACUAGCUACCCUUUCCUUCAAUCUUUUCUUUUUCCUUUCUUUUUCUUACAACAUGAACUCUCAAAGCUCACUUCACUCUUUCCCAACCGGUGUCAAAACACCAAAUACUCUAA